CAGUUCACCAAGCAUGUCGUGUUUGUUGUUGUUUUGUUAACUUAUCCCAAUUCCUGUUGGAGCCAAAUUCACUCUAAAAAGACAAAGAGUUUAUUUCUGCGGAUGGAUUAAAAGGGGAGUUUUAUGUAUGUGUCUGAUUGGGAAUCGGUGGAAAGGCCGAGCCUCACCUUAACACAUAAAAGUAGUCCCUGUCUGUAAGGAGAACCGGGUUUCGGAACCUCUCCCCGCGCGUCCGGCUCGCAUCAUCCAGUCGGUCUCCGCCCCGUCGCUCCAUCAUCAGCUCACAUCCAGGGAAGGAGGGGAGGGGGGGAAUAGAAAAGAAACGACGGGAGCAGGAGGAACCACGUCGGUGGAAAUAAGGAACCAUGAAGGACCGCAUGCUGGAACUUAGACAUGGCAAGGAGACAACAGAAGAAGAGGAUGAAGUCGCUGUGGGGAUGGACAAAGGCUUCAUGGAGGAAUUCUUUGAACAGGUAGAGGAGAUCCGGGGUUUUAUCGAGACUCUGGCAGAGAAAGUGGAAGAGGUGAAGAGGAAGCACAGCGCCAUCCUUGCCUCGCCAAACCCCGAUGAGAAGACCAAAGCCGAGCUUGAGGACCUCAUGGCAGACAUCAAGAAACUGGCCAACAAAAUUCGCUCUAAAUUAAAGAGUAUUCAGCAAACCAUUGAGCAGGAGGAAGGGCAGAACAGAUCGUCAGCUGACCUGAGGAUACGCAAAACACAGCACUCCACGCUGUCGAGGAAGUUCGUCGAGGUGAUGUCGGAGUACAACACCACGCAGUCGGACUACAGAGAGCGCUGCAAGGGCCGCAUUCAGAGACAGCUGGAGAUCACUGGAAGAAACACUACAAAUGAGGAGCUAGAGAGCAUGUUAGAGAGUGACAACCCUGCCAUCUUUACCUCUGGGAUAAUAAUGGAUAACAUCACCCAACAAGCAAUGAAUGAGAUCGAGACGCGGCACAACGAGAUUAUCAAGCUGGAGAACAGCAUCAGGGAACUUCAUGACAUGUUCAUGGAUAUGGCCAUGUUGGUGGAGAGCCAGACAACAAAGAAAGCUCCUUCCAAUAAAACAAGGGCGAGCUGGUGAACAACGUCCAGCGGAGUGUUCUGGGCGCUCAGGAAUAUGUGGAGGAAGCAAAGGAGCGCAUCCCAAAAUGCAAAAAGCUCAAAAAGACCAGCAGACGGAAAAUGAUCCUGAUAGGUGGUUGUGUCGCCGUGUGCCUCAUCAUCCUCAUUGUUUCUCUUGCUGCCGGCCUCAGUUAGGACCCUGACACACACCGUUUGCUACUCUAGAAGUGGCUCAAUAAUUUAGUGUCACCAUUGUAAAUGAGCACUCAAACUGUGUGGGACUAAUUAAUAUUGUCUAACUGUGUUAUUUUAUAUUGCUCUUGCACAUGUUGUGUUUCUUAUUUUGCACGUUUUCUGAAAAUUACAAAAUGUUGCGUACUUUCCCAAAUUGAGCAUUUACUCUAAUUAUCUAAUUAUCACAUGCAUCUCUGAACAGUUCAUGGACAACCAAUCUUUUUCAAAACUUGUGGAUGCAGAGUUUUGAAUAAGCGCCAUAAAAAAAAUACUUUUUCAAGGGUGAUAAAAUCUAGUAAAACUAUUAAAAUUUUCAGCAAACUCACACCAAUGCAACAUUUUUUCACUUCAGGUAGAGAAACUAUUACCAACAACGUCACUAGAUCUCACUUUCGAAAAAGCCAACCUAAUCCUUUAACUGCACUAGCUUAGCGUUGCUAUAUGUCUUACCACAAAAAACUCAGUUAGUUUUCCAAUAAUAUAUGUUCUUUUCUUCCUAAAAUGCAAUUUCAAGCUAUCACAACAGGCAGUGGUUUAAAAAAAAAUCUACAUUCAUUUGGCCCAGACACUGAAGAAAAUCACAUAUUGUUUGGAGAAAGCUCAUUUAAAUUUAAUUUAAUGAAGUAAUCCCCAGACAUUUUCUACUUACCAUAUAUAAUUAAUAAAAAACCCAGUGAAAUAACAACUUUUCAUAUCUGAGAAAAUUCCCCAAAAACGAACACCCGUCAACAGUCUGGCUGCUGACUUCUCUGGAGUCGUCCAUUUCUGCUGUGGUAGCGAAUGUUUCCUGUCCUUAUCCCUCUGCCCCGAGUUGAACCCAAGAUUCAAGUUGUUACAAUCACACAACAAGUGCAGAGAGACAAAGAGCGUUGUGCUCACUCCAUCAUUUUCUGUGUUGCCAUUAGCAGCCAUACAUCUGUUUCACAUUUGAAGUGUCUUCCUUUUUGUCACAAAAGAAAUCCAGUUAGUUUUGAAAAUAGCAUAAAGCCACACUCUACUGUUACUUAGACUGUGUCAUUGUCCAUAUAUGGUAAUGGUAUUUCCCUUUGGAGAGGCUCAACUCCAGAAAGUCUUUCCUGAUACACAAUCAGGAGAGACAAAGCAAAUCAUUAUUUGCUUUGAAAAAGAUAGAAAGGUCCCCUUAAAUCCAUUUUUAUUUUAUAUAUUUAAUUGUUUUGGCUUGAAAAUAUAAUGCCUUUUACCUUUUCAGUUCAGGACAGAUUUGGAAAAUAAUUUAAUAGAAAUGCACAUAAAUAUGCUUGACAUACAUGUAAAAAUACAUCAUGACCAUUUUCCAUGUGAUUCAUACAACAAACAUUUGCGUAAAUGUUGCUUCGGCUGAGGCUAUUCAACGGAGACCCAUAUCAACAAUUUGAUCAACAUGCCGUGAGAAUUUGCAUGGAUCCACCAAAAGCAUUUGGUCCAUCACAGAAAUUAGGAACUGCCUUUUUGAUUUAAAGGUUGAACAAGUAGCAGUAGCCAAUUCUGUCAUGAGAAAUGCGCCAACUGAGAAUAACUGUGAUGUAAAUCCACUAUUUGGUCUUUAGUUCCUAUCAUUUAGCUCUUUUGCUAAAUGAGAGACAUGGAUAAUUCAACUGAAGCUCAGAUUAAAACAAAUCUGAGACAUCAUGUUAUUGUUUUGUCGGACACUGGUUGCUUAUGAAUUAUAUUUAUUGAUAGUGUUAAAAACCUGUAUUGAGCCUUUUCUACCACCAGAGGGAGCUAAAGCUGAUUCUCUGACCUUGCUUUUAACGCUGCAGUGAUCGUGUUUGUUGGAUGUGUAAAACGCCACUAAGGCAGAGAGAACUCAACAUGAGCUAACAUAAGAAGGCGGCUUGAUCUGAUCUAAUGUAUUUAUCUUGAAAUACUCUAUUAAAUCAAACAAAAGAUUGCUAAAAAUCUUUAGUUGAGAUUGCUAAAAUCUCAAUCUUUAUUGCCGUGACGACAGUAACUUUCAUUUCAGCUGAAUUUCCUCUCAGAGGACAAAAACGUUUAUAGCUUGCUGUAAAUAUUGCAGCACUCUUUUAUUUACCUGCAUUUUCUGAAGAAUUGAUUACAAUCUUAAAUGAUAAUUUUACGUUUCACUGAGUUCCCUCUGCCUGUAAAGCUUAACGUUACCUUUAAGUUGUUGAACAAAAUGCCGGAAGCAAAUAUUCAAACGUGAGCUUUUACAAAUCCUUGUCAUAGUUGCACUCCAAGAAUUUCCUGAGAUUAUUUUAUGCUGUUAAAUCCCACUUUUGUUUUCUGAGUUCCACUUUGUUCAAAUGUAUUAAAGCUCUGUUCAUACUGCUAACAUGCUUUCUUCUCUUUCCUGUCUGCUGCGUGGGAUUUUUCUUUUUUUAUGUCAUUAUUCUUUUCUUUUUUUUACUCUCUGUAGAAGAAAAUCAUGAUCAUUAUAUGCUGUGUGGUUUUGGGAAUUGUCAUUGCUUCCAUAGUUGGAGGAACUCUGUCUUAAACCUCUGCUGCUGUCACACCCACAAAUGAAAACAGGCAAAGCCAGUUCAUUCAGUGUCCUGUAUAAAAAACUUCAAUCCAGCACGGUGUUUCCCAGCCCCGGUCCUCAGAUCAAACUGCCCUGUGUCUUGUAGAUGUUCUCCUUACGAUAACACAACCGAUUCUGAUAAUUGAAGUUCAACCGGCGCCUGGCAGUUGGCCAAUUGAUCGAAAUCGGGUUUUCCGAAGCAGAGAGACAUCUAACGCAUCCCUGGCAGUUCAUCCUGAGGGUCAGUGUUGGAAACGACCGAUCUGGAACAUGCCACAUUACUGUAUGAUGCAUUCUGCAAAUAGUGUACAGGGCCAGAGGUGAUCUCGCAUGAGUUGCUAUUUUGUAAAAAUGUGGUGCUGCAAGUUGUUCAUCUGGAUGUUGUUAAAGGCUAUGAUGUUUCUGGAAAAGGGACGUUACUCAAUAGUAUGUAUUCUUAGGCAUUCCAAUUCGCAAAUAAGACACUACUUUGUACUCUCUGUUUUGUGUUGUACAAGCGAAGUGACGGGUCACUCACCUGCAGUGUUUUCACAGACAAUAUUUUACCUAUUGAUUUGUAGUUUUUUAUAUAUAUAUGUUCAUAUUUUAUUCUAGUUUCCUUCAAAGCCCUUCAUGGUGAAGUGUUGUUCUGUGUUCAGAUGCAAGGGGGGGGGAGGGGACCAGAAAAAGAAAACUAACCAUGUACAGACGUAAAUGUUUUUGCUUGUUGAAUCCUCACACUGCCAAACUUCUUUUGUUUUACUAUUUUUUAUAUACACAGCUGAAGCAGUUAAACUGUUUCUUUUACACUGCCUGGCCAAA
Xiphophorus couchianus (Monterrey platyfish) is the source of this 4583-nucleotide RNA transcript. It is a transcript of the gene named syntaxin 1A (brain), with no coding region annotated. The transcript is spliced from 11 exons. The record is from RefSeq and is a predicted model, not a curated record. NCBI's taxonomy places the organism in Eukaryota, Metazoa, Chordata, Actinopteri, Cyprinodontiformes, Poeciliidae.